UCAAAUCCCUUUAAAAACAGAACUCUGAAUGCACGUGACCCAUCCAUGGGUCACGAGCAUAGUCAGUAAAGGUCAAGAGCAGCGCAGUAUCUGACGGGGUUGGUGAGGGAAAAGUUCAGGGGUUUGUCUCACAGGCAACCGGGAGAGUAUUGACACAGAACGCCCUGUUUCAGAUAAUGGCAACAAAAAGAAGCCAGACGUCAUGUAAUGAUAGCAGAGGUGGGGUUGACAGCAAAGUAUCCAAGCCAAAAACGAUAGAACAAUCUACUUUAUUUUGUGAUGACUCCACAAUGAAAAUGAAAGCUGUGGAUAUGAAUGCUACUCCAAAAAGCCAUGACAUCCCGCAUGGAUUGGAAGGGGCAAUGUUAGAAGCAAAUAGAAGUCUCAACAUCCUCUUCUCAGAGUUCACAGAAGUGUUAAGAGAGAGAGUGUCUGUGGACUCCUCACAAGUGAAUGAGUUGGAAGACAUCCUGAUGGAGGCCAGGAGUUUAGAAGCACAUCUCAAGGAGAAAAAAGAGCACUUGAGACAUUCACUGGCUGUCAUCUCUGAAAAAUUACAAGGAUAGAGUUUACCGCUUACUGCAAUAUCACAUAUUAUUUGUAGGACUCAGCGAGCUUAAAUCUGUUUACUCAGAGGGUGCAUCAGGAAACUGUGAAGUGUUUAUUUACAACCUUGUGACAGUUGUACAGUAGUUUUAGAUUGAUUGUAUUUGAUUUUUUGAUUGUAUUUACUUUGUGGGUAUGCUGGUAAUUUUUUUUUAUUUUAUGGCAGAGUGUGAUUUGCAUUUAGCUGUGAGAUCUUUUUGUCUUUUUUUUGUCUAUUUAACUCCACCCUGACCCCUGGAUGUUCUUUUGAAUAAUAGUUUUAUGAUUUGAAUAGAGAUUUUAUGGACAAGUGAAAUUGUGUUAUUUAUUAUAAUAUUGCUGUAAAUAAAAAUGAAACUGACAAAAGUA
Molecule: long non-coding RNA, 954 nt
Organism: Sardina pilchardus (European sardine)
Lineage: Eukaryota; Metazoa; Chordata; Actinopteri; Clupeiformes; Clupeidae
Exons: 5
Source: RefSeq, a predicted model, not a curated record